GACAGUGUAGUUCAGUGGUAGAGUGCAUGCCUAGCAUGCACGAGGUCCUGGGUUCAAUCCCCAGUACUUCCA
This 72-nucleotide transfer RNA is filed under the name Camelus bactrianus (Bactrian camel). It matches the Rfam family "tRNA". Rfam says of the family: Transfer RNA (tRNA) molecules are approximately 80 nucleotides in length. The record is from Rfam by way of RNAcentral. Lineage: Eukaryota; Metazoa; Chordata; Mammalia; Artiodactyla; Camelidae. RNAcentral also lists the same sequence under 2 other names.